Cebus imitator (Panamanian white-faced capuchin) is the source of this 104-nucleotide small nuclear RNA. The record is from Ensembl. Lineage: Eukaryota; Metazoa; Chordata; Mammalia; Primates; Cebidae.
AUGCUUGCUUCAGUAGCACAUAUACUAAAGCUGGAACAAUAGAAAGAUUGGCAUGGCCUCUGUGCAAGAAUGACAUGCAAAUUUGUGAAGCAUUCCGUAUGUUU